This 321-nucleotide ribosomal RNA is filed under the name uncultured eukaryote. Its description in RNAcentral is "partial 18S ribosomal RNA". It matches the Rfam family "Eukaryotic small subunit ribosomal RNA", at positions 1470 to 1796 of the family's 1831-position model. The record is from RNAcentral.
CCCUUAGAUGUUCUGGGCUGCACGCGUGCUACACUGAUUACUUCAACAAGUGUUUUAACUGGAGAGUUCGCGUAAUCCUGAAAUGUUAUCGUGAUGGGAGUAGAGUAUUGUAUUUGUUAAUCUUUAACGAGGAAUUCCUAGUAAGUGUAGGUUUAUAAGUUGUUCUGAUUACGUCCCUGCCCUUUGUACACACCGCCCGUCGCUCCUACCGAUUGGGUGUGCUGGUGAAAUGUUCGGAUCGGCCGUUUGUCGCGGUUUCCGCGGCUCGUGGCUGAGAAGUUCAUUAAACCCUCCCACCUAGAGGAAGGAGAAGUCGUAACA